This 71-nucleotide microRNA precursor is filed under the name Drosophila virilis. Its description in RNAcentral is "microRNA dvi-mir-263b precursor". Its record names the gene dvi-mir-263b. It matches the Rfam family "mir-263 microRNA precursor family", at positions 7 to 80 of the family's 86-position model. The record is from miRBase by way of RNAcentral. Lineage: Eukaryota; Metazoa; Arthropoda; Insecta; Diptera; Drosophilidae.
UUCAUCUUGGCACUGGGAGAAUUCACAGUCGAUUACAUAAUAUUCUGUGGUUCUGCGGGUGCCAAAAUGUA